GGUGCGGCCCCCCUUACAGGCCCAGUUGGAGGCUGGACAUGGCAGAGAGCUUUCCAUCGAAUUCUCUGAGGCCAGAAAAACAGAUGGAGGCGAUGCCUGGGCUCUCUCCAGCAAUCGGCAAUAGGCAAUCGGCUGUGUGCUGAGAACAAGGGCUCAUCCUACUGCCUCCUUCCUUCUGAAUGUGAGCACCAGGGGACCAGGACCAGAGGCUCGCCCCCACCACUGCAAAGUGGGGCUGGGCCCCGCAGACUGAAGGCCCCCAAUUUUGCCUUACGUCUUCGCCGGAAGGAGCACAUCUUCACGCAACGCGCUCCAGUGUUCUGAGCCACCAAAACGACCCCAGGGUGCCAACUUACAUGCUUUCUUACUCCUGUGAACCUGUGGAAGACCUCAGACUUCUCUUCAAAUGACACCGAACAUUGUACCUCUCUUUCUCAUUCUCUUUUCCCCAAUUUAUACUGAUAAUUCCUUCUUAACAUGGGCACAGCAUUUUGCUGAACUUCAAAAUCGAACAGCUUGCCAGAUACAUAGGAUUCUGCCUGUUUUGGGCACAU
Molecule: long non-coding RNA, 554 nt
Organism: Neogale vison (American mink)
Lineage: Eukaryota; Metazoa; Chordata; Mammalia; Carnivora; Mustelidae
Exons: 3
Source: RefSeq, a predicted model, not a curated record